AUUGAACGCUGGCGGCAUGCCUUACACAUGCAAAUCGAACGGUAACGGGCCUUCGGGUGCCGACGAGUGGCGAACGGGUGAGUAAUACAUCGGAACGUGCCCGAUCGUGGGGGAUAACGAGGCGAAAGCUUUGCUAAUACCGCAUACGAUCUACGGAUGAAAGCAGGGGACCGCAAGGCCUUGCGCGGACGGAGCGGCCGAUGGCAGAUUAGGUAGUUGGUGGGAUAAAAGCUUACCAAGCCGACGAUCUGUAGCUGGUCUGAGAGGAUGAUCAGCCACACUGGGACUGAGACACGGUCCAGACUCCUACGGGAGGCAGCAGUGGGGAAUUUUGGACAAUGGGCGCAAGCCUGAUCCAGCCAUGCCGCGUGCAGGAUGAAGGCCUUCGGGUUGUAAACUGAUUUUGUACGGAACGAAAAGCCUUCUUUUAAUACAGGAGGGUCAUGACGGUACCGUAAGAAUAAGCACCGGCUAACUACGUG
RNAcentral lists this ribosomal RNA (482 nucleotides) under uncultured bacterium. RNAcentral describes it as "partial 16S ribosomal RNA". It matches the Rfam family "Bacterial small subunit ribosomal RNA", at positions 30 to 507 of the family's 1533-position model. The record is from RNAcentral.